AAAAAGAUAAGCUAAUUUAAAGCUAAUGGGUUCAUACCCCAUCGAUGAAUAAAUUCUCUUUUUA
Molecule: transfer RNA, 64 nt
Filed under: Aphaena amabilis
Lineage: Eukaryota; Metazoa; Arthropoda; Insecta; Hemiptera; Fulgoridae
Description: tRNA-Met
Source: RNAcentral